This is a non-coding RNA of Manis javanica (Malayan pangolin), 112 nucleotides long. The record is from RefSeq and is a predicted model, not a curated record. Lineage: Eukaryota; Metazoa; Chordata; Mammalia; Pholidota; Manidae.
AAGACCUUAUUUCUGGGAUCAUUUCUACAAUUUGUUACUAGAGAAGUUGCUCUUAAUGCAUAGAGCGUCCAAUACCUAUCCUCGAAUGCUUCCAAAAAAUUGAAAGUGAGGG